This 429-nucleotide ribosomal RNA is filed under the name Acidobacteriota bacterium. RNAcentral's name for it is "Acidobacteria bacterium partial 16S ribosomal RNA". It matches the Rfam family "Bacterial small subunit ribosomal RNA", at positions 355 to 776 of the family's 1533-position model. The record is from RNAcentral. Lineage: Bacteria; Pseudomonadati; Acidobacteriota.
UGGGGAAUUUUGGACAAUGGUGGAAACCCUGAUCCAGCCAUCCCGCGUUUGCGAUGAAGGCCUUCGGGUUGUAAAGCACUUUUGGCAGGAAAGAAACGUCAUGGGUUAAUACCCCGUGAAACUGACGGUACCUGCAGAAUAAGCACCGGCUAACUACGUGCCAGCAGCCGCGGUAAUACGUAGGGUGUAAGCGUUAAUCGGAAUUACUGGGCGUAAAGCGUGCGCAGGAGGUUCGGAAAGAAAGAUGUGAAAUCCCAGAGCUCAACUUUGGAACUGCAUUUUUAACUACCGGGCUAGAGUGUGUCAGAGGGAGGUGGAAUUCCGCGUGUAGCAGUGAAAUGCGUAGAUAUGCGGAGGAACACCGAUGGCGAAGGCAGCCUCCUGGGAUAACACUGACGCUCAUGCACGAAAGCGUGGGGAGCAAACAGG